This 494-nucleotide ribosomal RNA is filed under the name uncultured Oscillospiraceae bacterium. Its description in RNAcentral is "bacterial SSU rRNA". It matches the Rfam family "Bacterial small subunit ribosomal RNA", at positions 17 to 507 of the family's 1533-position model. Lineage: Bacteria; Bacillati; Bacillota; Clostridia; Eubacteriales; Oscillospiraceae. The record is from RNAcentral.
UCCUGGCGUCAGGAUGAACGCUGGCGGCGUGCUUAACACAUGCAAGUCGAACGAGAACCAUUGGAUCGAGGAUUCGUCCAAGUGAAGGUGGGAAAGGUGGCGGACGGGUGAGUAACGCGUGAGCAAUCUGCCUUGGAGUGGGGAAUAACGGCUGGAAACAGCCGCUAAUACCGCAUGAUACAGCUGGGAGGCAUCUCCCUGGCUGUCAAAGAUUUAUCGCUCUGAGAUGAGCUCGCGUCUGAUUAGCUAGUUGGCGGGGUAACGGCCCACCAAGGCGACGAUCAGUAGCCGGACUGAGAGGUUGGCCGGCCACAUUGGGACUGAGACACGGCCCAGACUCCUACGGGAGGCAGCAGUGGGGAAUAUUGGGCAAUGGGCGCAAGCCUGACCCAACAACGCCGCGUGAAGGAAGAAGGCUUUCGGGUUGUAAACUUCUUUUGUCAGGGACGAAGCAAGUGACGGUACCUGACGAAUAAGCCACGGCUAACUACGUG